ACUCCUACGGGAGGCAGCAGUGGGGAAUUUUCCGCAAUGGGCGAAAGCCUGACGGAGCAAGACCGCGUGAGGGAUGACGGCCUAAUGGUUGUAAACCUCUUUUCUCUGGGAAGAUAAUGACGGUACCAGAGGAAUAAGCCUCGGCUAACUCCGUGCCAGCAGCCGCGGUAAUA
This 173-nucleotide ribosomal RNA is filed under the name uncultured bacterium. RNAcentral describes it as "partial 16S ribosomal RNA". It matches the Rfam family "Bacterial small subunit ribosomal RNA", at positions 335 to 525 of the family's 1533-position model. The record is from RNAcentral.